This 138-nucleotide ribosomal RNA is filed under the name uncultured bacterium. Its description in RNAcentral is "partial 16S ribosomal RNA". It matches the Rfam family "Bacterial small subunit ribosomal RNA", at positions 390 to 524 of the family's 1533-position model. The record is from RNAcentral.
AGCCAAGUAGCGUGCAGGAUGACGGCCCUAUGGGUUGUAAACUGCUUUUAUACAGGAAUAAAGUUAGCCACGUGUGGUUAUUUGUAGGUACUGUAUGAAUAAGGACCGGCUAAUUCCGUGCCAGCGAGCCGCGGUAAU